RNAcentral lists this ribosomal RNA (1052 nucleotides) under Vibrio parahaemolyticus. RNAcentral's name for it is "partial 23S ribosomal RNA". It matches the Rfam family "Bacterial large subunit ribosomal RNA", at positions 1211 to 2246 of the family's 2925-position model. The record is from RNAcentral. Lineage: Bacteria; Pseudomonadati; Pseudomonadota; Gammaproteobacteria; Vibrionales; Vibrionaceae.
UGCUUUUGCACAUUGGGUAGGGGAGCGUUCUGUAAGCGGUUGAAGGUGUGUGGUAACGCAUGCUGGACGUAUCAGAAGUGCGAAUGCUGACAUGAGUAACGAUAAAGGGGGUGAAAAACCUCCUCGCCGGAAGACCAAGGGUUCCUGUCCAACGUUAAUCGGGGCAGGGUAAGUCGACCCCUAAGGCGAGGCCGAAAGGCGUAGUCGAUGGGAAACGGGUUAAUAUUCCCGUACUUCUUACAAUUGCGAUGGGGGGACGGAGAAGGCUAGGUGGGCCUGGCGACGGUUGUCCAGGUUCAAGUGCGUAGGCUUAAGAGUUAGGUAAAUCCGGCUCUUUUUAAGGCUGAGACACGACGUCGAGCUACUACGGUAGUGAAGUCAUUGAUGCCAUGCUUCCAGGAAAAGCCUCUAAGCUUCAGAUUGUAAGGAAUCGUACCCCAAACCGACACAGGUGGUCGGGUAGAGAAUACCAAGGCGCUUGAGAGAACUCGGGUGAAGGAACUAGGCAAAAUGGUACCGUAACUUCGGGAGAAGGUACGCUCUCGACGGUGAAGUCCCUUGCGGAUGGAGCUAUUGAGAGUCGCAGAUACCAGGUGGCUGCAACUGUUUAUUAAAAACACAGCACUGUGCAAAAUCGUAAGAUGACGUAUACGGUGUGACGCCUGCCCGGUGCCGGAAGGUUAAUUGAUGGGGUUAGACUUCGGUCGAAGCUCUUGAUCGAAGCCCCGGUAAACGGCGGCCGUAACUAUAACGGUCCUAAGGUAGCGAAAUUCCUUGUCGGGUAAGUUCCGACCUGCACGAAUGGCGUAAUGAUGGCCACGCUGUCUCCACCCGAGACUCAGUGAAAUUGAAAUCGCUGUGAAGAUGCAGUGUACCCGCGGCUAGACGGAAAGACCCCGUGAACCUUUACUACAGCUUGGCACUGAACAUUGACCCUACAUGUGUAGGAUAGGUGGGAGGCUUUGAAGCACGUACGCCAGUAUGUGUGGAGCCGUCCUUGAAAUACCACCCUUGUAGUGUUGAUGUUCUAACGUCGACCCCUUAUCGGGGUU